UAACGUAGGGAGCAAGCGUUGUUCGGAUUUACUGGGCGUAAAGGGCGCGUAGGCGGCAAUUCAAGUCAUCUGUGAAAUCUCCCGGGCUUAACUCGGAACGGUCAGAUGAUACUGCUUUGCUAGAGUGCAGAAGGGGCAACUGGAAUUCUCGGUGUAGCGGUGAAAUGCGUAGAUAUCGAGAGGAACACCUGCGGCGAAGGCGGGUUGCUGGGCUGAUACUGACGCUGAGGCGCGAAAGCCAGGGGAGCGAACGGG
This 255-nucleotide ribosomal RNA is filed under the name uncultured bacterium. Its description in RNAcentral is "partial 16S ribosomal RNA". It matches the Rfam family "Bacterial small subunit ribosomal RNA", at positions 523 to 776 of the family's 1533-position model. The record is from RNAcentral.